CGAUGCCUAAGACAUGCAAGUCGAACGAGACGGCCCAAUUGAAAAUUGGAGUGCUUGCCACAAAGUUGGAUUUGGUUUCCCGUCUAGUGGCGCAAGGGUGAGUAACACGUGGGUAAUCUACCUUCGAGUCUGGAAUAACAGUUGAAAUGAUUGCUAAUGCCGGAUGAUAUAUAGGAAGACAUACUACUUAUAUUAAAAGGGGCCUCAAAGCCUCGCUUGAAGAUGAGCCUGCGCCGUAUUAGUUAGUUGGUGGGGUAACGGCCUACCAAGACGACGAUGCGUAGCCGACCUGAGAGGGUGAUCGGCCACACUGGGACUGAGACACGGCCCAGACUCCUACGGGAGACAGCAGUUAGGAAUAUUCGUCAAUGGGGGAAACCCUGAACGAGCAAUGCCGCGUGAAGGAUGACGGUCCUAUGGAUUGUAAACUUCUGUUGUUAGGGAAGAACGACCUAUGUAGGAAAUGACAUAGGAGUGACGGUACCUUUCAAGAAAGCUCCGGCUAACUACGUG
This 513-nucleotide ribosomal RNA is filed under the name uncultured bacterium. RNAcentral's name for it is "bacterial SSU rRNA". It matches the Rfam family "Bacterial small subunit ribosomal RNA", at positions 43 to 507 of the family's 1533-position model. The record is from RNAcentral.